UUCUAUAACAAGGAAAAGGACAAAAAGCUGAAAAUCCACUAAAUACCAAAAAACAUAAAGUAACUACGAUAGGAAUCCAUAACAAGUGCUAAACAAAGUACAAGGUGGUCUCUCUAUACAUGGUACAAAACCUCUCCCUCUCUCUAACACAAGUAAAGAAGGAGUAACCACCUAGCGCAAAAGAACUCUCCCCGAGCUAGCUAUGCGACACCCUUGCCGCGAUCCCGUGCCUCCGCCGAUGCCGAAGGCUCUGAAGAAGAAACAUAAAAACAGUGGCGUGAGAACUAUUAAUUAAUAGUUCACAGUGGGCAAUUACUGGCUUCAGUGAAAUGCACCACUAGGCCCAACUACAAAAGAGGGUCAGUGUAAAUAAAUAACCAAAAGCGAUAAAUGCAACGGAUAAGUAAAAAUGAAUACCAUAUAACCAUGAUGUCUCUACUUAGCUUUAUUUGCAUAAGUAAGAAAACUACUACUAUGAGUAUAUGCACAUGAAUAUUGAACAUGUAAACGCAUGAAUAUGCAACUAACCCAAUGUCCAC
RNAcentral lists this long non-coding RNA (539 nucleotides) under Ananas comosus (pineapple). Its description in RNAcentral is "long non-coding RNA (ACOM_LNC035318)". The record is from RNAcentral. Lineage: Eukaryota; Viridiplantae; Streptophyta; Magnoliopsida; Poales; Bromeliaceae.